UAACAAUAUUAAAUUCAAAGUUUAUAGUAGAAAAUUGUCAGGGGGUAUGUAAUGGCACAUAAACAGUAUUAAAGCCAAUUUAUGAUCUAACUGAUGUUAUACAGCUAUAGGAUAGUCCACAUUGUAUGAAACGUUAUAAAACAAUACAGAGUCUACAUAUAGGUAUGAUACCAGAAAAAAAGCUCUAUUGAUAUGAAGGACAAACUUGAGUAAGUUGACUACUUACGAUUGUGCCUCAUCAUAUCAUCAUCAUAAGCAGCAGCACAGCAUAGUUAUGCUGAACUCACUACAUACAACAUUGCAUUUCAUUUAAUACUGUCAAUAACUCUUUGACUUAUUUAUAAUUACAUUCUAAAUAUAAGAAAAUGAGAAUCAGAGAGAUCAAGUAACUUAUCUCAAGACACACAGCUAGAAAAUGGCAUCCAACAGGAAUUGACUACAGGUUUCUCUUCUUCUAGAUCUCUUGCUAUCAUCUCCUGCUAUGCAUCCUACAACUUCUCCCAGGCACUCACUUGAGAGUCAAGACAUUUACUUGAUUUUGCCGCCAUAGUUCACAUAACCUUGUUUUUUCCCUUGCACAGAUGGCCUCCAUGGAAAUUCUCCAACACCCACUUCUACAGUCAAAUGUUUUCUUCAGUUGUGUAUGAAAUGGAGAUUAAGAAGAUCAUCUCACAUAAUAGAACUACCUGCAGAAGAAUUCUCUUUUUCACUGACCCCAUCUGAAAUAUUCUGUACCUUUUUCUGGGCCAAGGACUUUCAUAUGAUUGCUACACAGGAAAUUACAAAAUAA
RNAcentral lists this long non-coding RNA (790 nucleotides) under Felis catus (domestic cat). Its description in RNAcentral is "lncRNA (ENSFCAG00000051854.1)". Lineage: Eukaryota; Metazoa; Chordata; Mammalia; Carnivora; Felidae. The record is from RNAcentral.